AGUAAGGUCAGCUAAUUAAGCUUCUGGGCCCAUACCCCAGCCAUGUUGGUUAAAAUCCUUCCUUUACUA
RNAcentral lists this transfer RNA (69 nucleotides) under Craterocephalus eyresii (Lake Eyre hardyhead). RNAcentral's name for it is "tRNA-Met". It matches the Rfam family "tRNA". From Rfam's summary of the family: Transfer RNA (tRNA) molecules are approximately 80 nucleotides in length. The record is from RNAcentral. Lineage: Eukaryota; Metazoa; Chordata; Actinopteri; Atheriniformes; Atherinidae.